CAACCCAAACGACGUCGUGUUGAAGCUUUUCUGUAUAAAAAAAAGUCUCCGAACUAUAAUAAGACCGACCAUUAUAGGCUCGUGCAAUGGCUUCCUCUGUCACCACGAAGUCCAUCUUGGGGGCGAUCCAUCAUCUCCACAUCUCCAAUCCUGUUACUGGUGAGUUUUUAUCUCUCCCAACACCUUCAAAGCCUGAUACAGUUCGAGGCCGUUAUGGUUUUGGGUUCAGCCCCAUCAGUGAUGUCUAUAAGCUAGUUCGGAUUGUGCCUACACAUAAACAAGUAAUGGUUUUGACUGUUGGCUCUGGGAUUUGGAGAGAUAUUGGGCACCCUCCCGACUCUUUUGAUGGAGGAACGUUGGGGAAACCUUGUGUCUACCAAAACUAUUUUGGUAGAGUGAAUGAUCAUGGGAUUUAUGUCAAUGGGUUUCUUCAUUGGAUUGGGUACAGGGACCCGUCUCGUUUGGCAUGGGCCUUCGAUGUUGAAAGUGAGCGGUUCCAAGAGUUACCACUACCACCUUGUUCCUAUGAUCCGAGAACAAUUUGUUUUAAGCUCGGAGUAUUGAAAGGUUGGCUCUCUGUCAUUAACUUGAGUGAUGUUAUCAGUGUUUGGGUGAUGAAGGAUUAUGGGUUGAAGGAGUCUUGGACUAAAGAGCACGAGUUUAAAAACCCAGUUGGUUAUUUUGGCACUUUCAUGUUGAAAGCUAUUACUGGGGAAGGGCAAGUUUUGGGGAUACAUCAGGAUAGAUUGCAGGCUUAUACUCCCACAACAACGGGCCUUGUGACGGUUGAGGUUGAUGGAUUACCUUCAUGGAUUUCGGGGGCAUGGGACCUUGUUCCAAGCUUUGUUUCACUUAAGGAUAUUGCCAGAGGGUUGCAGCUUGAAGGGAGAUGAAGCCAGAUGGGUUAUCCCAAAGGGGUGUUUUGAAUUUCUGAGCACCAAGUUUGAGGGUUUUGGAAGGGGAAAGAAAGCCAAAACAUUAUGCGGGUGCUGCUUGUCGGCAUUUUCCUGGAACAAUUUGGAUGGAGCGCAAUAAGAAUAUUUGAGGAUUAUAAGGGCGCGGGGGUAAAUAAACUCUGGGACAGAGACUUCAGGGUGUUUCCAAACUGGAACAAUCUUGACUGUGGAUGAGCGAGGCCUUUACGGGAAAACAUGCAUUGCCAUUCAAGGUAUAUAUGUUACCGGCUGGCUGAUUAAUAGUACAUUUUCAUUGCAGAUUGAUAGUGGCAUAUUGAUUCCAACUAUGAAAGUUCAAAGGACAAGAGUUGUGGCUCAGUACGAGGAGAAAAUAGAGAAUCUGUACAAGUAAACCUCUUAUCCAGAAAUUUAGAAAAGCACUUUAAAAUGCAGGAAAUUUAUAUGAAAGAAGUAUUGCAAAGCAUAGAUAGGUCGCCAGUCCAAUGCUUUUUUAGUCCCAUUUUAGGUCAGUUCCUUACUGUCUCGUCAAACAUUAUGUACUAGUUAAAGUUUUUGGAUUUAUAGUCUGUAACAGUGAGAGACAAGAAUGCUUGAAUUCUGUGCAUUUCUUACUUCAUUUCUAAUAGUUUGCAGCAGCAGUUGUGCAGCACACCCUGCAUAAGGUUGUAAU
This is an RNA transcript of Prunus persica (peach), 1587 nucleotides long. It is a transcript of the gene named F-box/kelch-repeat protein At3g06240, with no coding region annotated. The transcript is spliced from 4 exons. Lineage: Eukaryota; Viridiplantae; Streptophyta; Magnoliopsida; Rosales; Rosaceae. The record is from RefSeq and is a predicted model, not a curated record.